RNAcentral lists this ribosomal RNA (297 nucleotides) under uncultured Pseudomonas sp. Its description in RNAcentral is "partial 16S ribosomal RNA". It matches the Rfam family "Bacterial small subunit ribosomal RNA", at positions 1086 to 1382 of the family's 1533-position model. The record is from RNAcentral. Lineage: Bacteria; Pseudomonadati; Pseudomonadota; Gammaproteobacteria; Pseudomonadales; Pseudomonadaceae.
CCCGUAACGAGCGCAACCCUUGUCCUUAGUUACCAGCACGUUAUGGUGGGCACUCUAAGGAGACUGCCGGUGACAAACCGGAGGAAGGUGGGGAUGACGUCAAGUCAUCAUGGCCCUUACGGCCUGGGCUACACACGUGCUACAAUGGUCGGUACAAAGGGUUGCCAAGCCGCGAGGUGGAGCUAAUCCCAUAAAACCGAUCGUAGUCCGGAUCGCAGUCUGCAACUCGACUGCGAGAAGUCGGAAUCGCUAGUAAUCGUGAAUCAGAAUGUCACGGUGAAUACGUUCCCGGGCCUU